CUGCUUCAGGAGGAAGAGGUAGAUCCUGACAACAGUAGAAAGGUGCAGAGGCUGCUUCAAGGCACAGGAGGAGAGUGUGCCAAAGGCUUUGGAAGCAGGUGCCUGUGAAUGCACAAGCAUGUAGAAACCUGGGAUACUACAGCCACUGGGAGUUUUUCAUAAGCAGGUUCUUAGAGAGCUGCCUCUUGUUGCAGUGUCUUCCUCCUCCCCACUCUGCUAGGGUCUGAUAGAAGGUCAACUGAACCACAGCCCUCUGGAGGCCCUGGGGCAAGAAUCAGAACCUGAUCCUGGAACUGAAAUGGACUUUUUAUGAGCAAUUAUUCAUCCUUGUUGAUACAAGCUGUAAGGUGAAAGUGUGCAUUCCAGAGAGUAAAUUCACAGAAAAUAGAAGUAUAUAACCUGU
Molecule: non-coding RNA, 403 nt
Organism: Cyanistes caeruleus (blue tit)
Lineage: Eukaryota; Metazoa; Chordata; Aves; Passeriformes; Paridae
Source: RefSeq, a predicted model, not a curated record